GCCGCGGAGGAGGGCGCAGUCCCGGCCCCCGGCCAGACAUGCUGCUUGGACUGCGCCUGCGCCCGGGGAGGGAGGGUGUUGUCUACAGCGUCAGUCACCGCGUCCCCAGGCAGUCUCAGCCCGCACGGGCCGCCCCCCAAGACUCUCAGUCCCGGCACAGUCACUGGCAGAUCUGCGACGGGCACCACCUGCUCCAGCGGCAGCAGCCGGCCCUCUACCGGGACGAGCCCCAGGCGCCCGGGAGGGCAGCCAGCCUCGGAGUGCCCCUCCUGCCCCUCAGCCUCAGCCUUCUGACCUUCCCACAGGCCAUCCUGCGUGUCUCGGUCACUCGGUGUUUUUGGCUUGGCUUUGUGAUCUGUACCUGCCAUGGAGAACAUCAGUAAACACGAGUCACAAUCAAGAUCUCUGGCGAAAGGCCUGGGGUGGGAGGAGCCUGCGAUGGGAGCUGUUUCCCAGAGAUUCAGCCCACCUUGCCUUGCAAGCGCAAGGUUCCAAGUUCGAUCCCCGGUACCAAAAAAAAAAAAAAAAAAUCCACCCCUUUACAGUACAGGAGCAGAGCCGCUGUGCGUCAGGACGCUGGUGCCCCCAACAGAACCACAGUGCGGUGCCCAGGAGACAGGGUCUUGCUGUGUAGCCCAGGCUGGCCCCGAACUCACAAUGAUCCUCCUGCCAGGGCCUCCAAGGUGCUGGGACUACAGCCACGAACCACCGUGCCUGCCCACAGAUGGCAGGAGAGGUGUGUGAAGUCUGCGUGGGGUGUACAUACAGUUGACACCAACUAAACUGGCUCUGUGUUAUCAGGCGUUGUCAUCUUAUGGGGCCACGAUCGCCUUUGUGGUCUGUUGUGAACCAAAACAUCAGUGCGUGCAUGUCCUGGGGCUGCAGCGACAGAGCCCCAAAGACUGGGGCUUAAAAUCUACCGUCUCGGAUUAGAAGGCUGGAAGUUUGAAUUGAAGGUGUCAGCAGGGCCACUCACCUUCUGAAACCCACAGGGGAAUCUGAUCCGUGUCCUUCUCAGCAGUGGUGUGACUAGCGUCCUCAGUGUCCCUUGGCUGCAUCACUACAGUCGCUGCCCCCCACCUUCAUGUGGCUGCACGGUGAAUGGGUGCCUGUGUCUCCCUCUUCUCAUAAGGACCCUCAGUGGAUUAGGGCCUCCUCCUUCCAGCAUGAGAGGCUUAACUUGACCACAGUGAUGAAGGCCCUGUUUCCAAAUGAGAUCCCAGGCACAGGUUCAGGGGCUGGGACUUGAGCAGAGCUUUUUCGGGGGGAUGAAACUUCCCUAGUCACUGAUAUACGAUAUCUGACACCCACAACUAAAGGAGGAGAGGCUUAUUUUGGCUUAGAAGUUUUAGUCCUCCGUGGUUGGCCAGCUCCAAGGCAGGGCAGUGCAGCACAAGGGUCUGGUGGAGGAGAGCUGCUCAAGUGUGAUGGACAGGAUGCAGAGAGUGAAGGGAGGGGCCAUGCAGGGAGCUGGAGCCUCCCUGGUCACCGCCCCCAUGACUACCACUUCCACAGGCCCCGCCUCCUAACAGCAGUCAACUGUAAUGCCCCACAUCUGAUCACCUUCUCAAGGUCGUUCCUGUAGCCCAUGAGGCUUUGAGGGGCAUCCAGAUGCAGACCACAACCCAACUCAACCCACAGUGGAGAAAAUGAAGCAAUGCCAGGGCACAGGGGAGCAGAACGUGGGGAGUUCUGAACAUCUGUAGUGUGGCUGGGGCACAGCAGUGGCAACUCAUGUUGGUGAUCUUCGGGUCUAGCACACGAGUGGCUCAUUGUCUUAGUUACUUUUCUCGUGGCUGGAAAAAAAUAGCUGACACCCCAAGUUAAAUGGGGAGAGGUUUAUUUAGCUUACAGUUUAUAGGGAUUUCAGUCUACAGUUGUCUGGCUCCAAAGCAGGGUGGCAUGGCAGAGGGGCAUCAGAGGAGAAACAGCAAGGGAAGCCAGCAAGCCACAAGUGACAAAAGCAGCUUCUUCUGCCCCUUUUAUGUUCUAUCUAGGCUACCCGGCUCAGGGUGGGUGCCAAACCGAUCAUUGGACUGGUUUAUUUAUUUAGACUGAUUUAUAGUUAUGCACCCUUAAUCCCAGCGUCACACACUCUAGAUCCAGCCACCUCUGAAAAAGCCCCACCCAUGACUCCAUAGGCUUUUGGGGGACGUCUAGGCACAGCCAUGACACCCAUCUUCUGAUCAACCGCUCUCUGCCACCUGCUCCUGCCUUGCGUUCUUUUUGCUCAAUCUCUUUGAAGCUCAGAUGAAAACACCUAAGAGCUUCACCCAUUCACCAAGACCCCGAGCGCCAACCCCUGUCCCUUUUGGUGCCCUGGAUGCUGGUCUGGCUUGGCAGGGGUAGGGCUAUUUUCAGCCUGGGCUUCAGCUGAAAAGCUGACACAUUUCCAUGAACACUGCCUCAUAAAAGCUGGAAAUAUAUUGAGCAAAGGAUUCCAUUUCCUGUCCUCCGGCAGCAGGAGUGUGUACCAGGCUUUCAUUUGUGGCCAAGCACUCCGGGGAGGUAACACUGCAAACCAUUUUUCUGCAUAAAUGUUUGCACUGUCUAAUUCUCCUUUGGUGCAAAGUGUUGCGUGGACACAGGAAAAAAGGCAGAAGCAAGGCUGGCCUAGCUGCAUGAAGCGAGGGAUCACAAAACUGACAGAGGGCAUCUCGAGAGGGGUGUUAUGUGAAGGGAGCUGUGGCUACUCUGGAUGUCCUGGUGGGGUCCUCUCCCCACUCUGGAGCUGUGAACCAGGCUCCCCAGGCCAGCCACAGGGGGGCAAAGAGUUCUGCACAUGCAUCUCAUUUCCCGUGCUUCUGGUUGCGAGUAAGUUAGAUCAUCUUUCUCUUGGUAGUGUUUCCCUGCUCAGGGACUGUGAACUAGCUCUCAGGUGUUUGAGGUUCUGAAUGGACCAGGAGAUAUUUUAUUUUUCAAAACUUAAUUGACCAUUUAAAAAGAAGUUUAUUUUUAUUAGUACAAGUUUACCGCACGACACGAUUAUACUCAUGAGGAGCUGCCCAUGUGCGGAACACAUCUUCACUCUUUUUUCACCCCCUUUCUCUCCUCUCCCUUCCCUGCCCUCUAUCUCUUGGUCCAGUUUGUGAUUUGCAGGAAAAUCGGGCAGUGAGUACAGAGAUCCUCUGGACAUGCACAGUGUCCCUGGGCACCUGUGACCUGUGAGGACCGGCACCGCCCAUGGGCACUUCCCGAGGGCCACGGUUUCCGGCCUCUCUCCUGUGUCCCGACUGCGUCCUGACCCACGCCCACCCCACAGUGCCCACUGACAGUGCCCCUCCAGUCCUGUCGCCCGCUCAUCCCUCCUACCACGAAUGCAGCGUCCUGACAUCUGGGCUUUUCCAGAACGGCAUAGGGUUGGACCACAGUACACAGCCCUGCAGACCGGCUGCUUUCGUACGCAUUCUUGCUGAAGGCUCCUCUGUGUCUCCUGGGAAACAUUUUAUGGGAGCAAAGCAUGUGUGCAGAAGAUGCAUGAUUACAUGUGCGGGGUCCCGGACUGCCAGGCUCGGGGCUCCGGGGCUCCGGGGUAGCCGGCCCCCAGCCGGAAGCCACUGUGGCCAGUACUGGGAGUCCCGUGUUCACUGCCAGACCCUGCCCUGCUUGCCGGAGGCCACCCUGCUCCCCACGCCUGAGUCCACAGUGGGGACGUCCGUGGCCAGUCUGUGGCCGGUGUCCCGCACUCAGCACUGUGCUGCGUGGCCGGGAGUGGUGUCCCGUGGUAGGAAGGGCCUCUGCUCGUGGUCUUAGCCCCAGCCUCCUUGGUGAAGUACGGGCGGCUGCAUGGAUCACUCCGGCCUUUGGUCCAAGUUCUCUGUUGGCCCUGGCUCCUGAGUGGCCACGCUGCCUCUGAACCCUGGCAUGGGGACUGAGUCUGCUGGACUGGAGCAGGAGAAACGCAACCACAGAGCCCAAGGAUUCAGAAUCUGCCAGAUUACGAAGGGCCCAAUCUCAAUAGUUUUUGCCUAAACUUACACUUAGAUUAAUUUUAGUGAAUAUCCCAUUGGUAAUUAAACGUAUCCAUUUAUAUAUUUAUUUAUUUAUUCUUUCUGUCAUUUUUAAUUUUUAUUUAUUUAUUUAUUUUUGGUACUGGAGAUCGAGCUCAGGUCCUUGUGCUUGCGCAGCAGGUGGAGAAACCACUGAGCUAAAUCCCCGGCCCUUUCUGUCAUUCUUUAUUAGCACGUUUGCAGUACAUACAGUCAUAUCGAUCGUGGGGAGUCGGUGUGUUUCUGUAACACUUCUUAAUUCUUUCUUCCUCCUCGUCCCCCCACCUCUUGGUCCCCUUCCCUUUUGGAAAUGAUCCCUCUGCCUGUUUUCUAUCACCUGUCUUUUGUUUUUCUCUUUAAUUUAUUUAUACUCUGGGUUUCUCAUAGAAGAGAAACCAUGUGAUAUUUAAGCUUGUGUGUCUGAUUUAUUUCACUUAACAUUAUGGUCUCAAGGUGCACCCAUGUUCCUAUAAAUGACUCAAGUUUAUCUUUCUUUAUGGCAGAGUAUUACCCCACUGUGUGUAAAUGCCACAUUUUAUUUAUUCAUUCUGUUCAUGGGCAUAUAGGCCACUUCCAAGAUUUAGCUGUUGUGAGUUUUAUUGCUGUAAACCUGGGUGUGCAUGGAUCCCUGCAGUAUGAUGUCUUUAACUCUCUCGGAAGGGGGAGUAGCUGGGUCAAUGGAAGUUCUAGAUCAUCUGCUCCAUUAAGUGUAAUCUGAGUGGUAUUCUCUGCAUGCAGUCAGUGGUUACUUAGUGAGAUGUGCCCACACUGGCUGGGGGGGGCCCUGGGGGCAGAGCCUUGCUGUUAGGUUUCCGUAGGGGCAUGAGUUGCUGCCAUCCCCGAAUGUGCAUGGUGUGCAGAGCCCGUGCCCAGGCCCAGUGUGCAUUUGCUGAGCUUGGUCCCUGUCCCUGAUGGUCUCAUUUUACGGAUGUGGAAGAAGGGGGCAGCUGAAGCAGUGAGCUCUGCUACAUAGUAGUCUGCUUGUCGCUGUGACAGAGCACCAAGGAAAUCGGUGUGAGGGAGAGAGGGUCUUUCUGGUUGGUUGGCUCUGUCCCUCUUAGGCUGGGUGAGGUCACAGUAUCACAGUGAACGGGCCCAGAGUUGCAGGGCACCGAGGGCCGCCUGGGGACAGUGCCUGUUUCACUGCUGCAUUGUGGAGGGGCAGGCCGUGUUCAUCCUGGACAGGUUCCGGUGCAGAAGAGUGGUUCUGUCUGCCAGGCCAGGGCAGCAGAUGCCACUGGGUGUUGGCCACGACUGAGUCCUCUUGCUCAUGCUGGUCCUGCGUCCCCUUCCUCCAGGAUCCCAUCUGGGGGUGACUCCUGAAGCCCCAGGUGCAGGGGACAUUUCCCGACCCACCUCCCCGGUGGGGCCUCUCAGACGGAACGUAUCGGAAGCCCAGCUGCUCCAGCCUCCUCCUUGCCAAAGUGAUUUUAGAUAUGUUACGACUGACAAACAGCACAACCCAGUUCAGAGGGAAAAAUCUCCCCUCUAUUGGAAUAGAGGAAAUUGGGGAGGAGGUAGGUUUUAUUUUUCACUGUUACUUUUGAAAUGAUUAUAGAUUCACAGGAAGUUGCAAAAGUUGUACGCAGGGUCUCCCAGGUCCUCCUCCAGCUCCCUGCAAUGGCGACAUUUUACUUAGCAGCAGUAAAACAGCAAGACCAGGAAAUUGACAUCAGAAUGAGACUCCAGGCCUUGCUCGGAUUUCGCCUGUGUGCGCACGUGCACGUGUGUGUGUUUCUGUGCACGUGAUCUCUUGCAGAGGCUCACGUUACCGCUGCCACCAUCAGGACACUGGGCAGCUUCACUGCCAGAAACCAGCUUCCUGGCGCCCCCGGGAGGGGACCUGCAAACCAUGAGUGGACAAGACGCGCUGUGCGCACUCACUGUACGGCCCCGACUUCUGGAGUGAGUGUACACUGCGGAACAGCUGCGUCAAGCUGAGGGGCGAUGCUGUUUGUGCACUGUGAGGACACCCCAGAUUGGCUCCCUUUGCAGUCUCGAAGUGGUUACGCACUUGGUCACUACCGUCGCCGCAUCCUGCCACAGACCCCUCGAAGCUGUUUCUCUUGUGUGACUAAAAUUGUGCCCUUGACCGACCAGGCACACCAUGUUUUUAGCAGCACAAUAGCUAAGUCUUGGAAGCAGCCUAUACGUCCAUCAACAGAUGAACGGAUAAAGAAAAUAUGCUAUUUACACACAACGGAGUACUACUCUGCCACAAAGAAGGAUAAACCAAAGUCAUUUGUAGGAACAUGGAUGCACCUUGAGACCAUAAUGUUAAGAGAAAUAAAUCAGACACAGAAGGUUAAAUAUCACAUGGCUUCUCUUAUAUGUGAAACCCUGAGUAUAAAUAAAGAGCAAAAUAAGAGAUAGAUCAUAGGUAACAGGGAGAUGGAUGUUUUGGAAAUAGGAAGGGAG
Molecule: long non-coding RNA, 6407 nt
Organism: Heterocephalus glaber (naked mole-rat)
Lineage: Eukaryota; Metazoa; Chordata; Mammalia; Rodentia; Bathyergidae
Source: Ensembl